AGAGUUUGAUCCUGGCUCAGGAUAAACGCUGGCGGCGCACAUAAGACAUGCAAGUCGAACGGACUUAAUCGAAAUAUUUAUAUUUUGAAGCGGUUAGUGGCGGACUGGUGAGUAACGCGUGAGGAACCUGCCUAUUAGAGGGGAAUAACAGUGAGAAAUCAUUGCUAAUACCGCAUAUGCCAUAGAUAUCACAUGAUAACAGUGGGAAAGGAGCAAUCCGCUAAUAGAUGGCCUUGCGUCUGAUUAGAUAGUUGGUGGGGUAACGGCCUACCAAGUCGACGAUCAGUAGCCGGACUGAGAGGUUGAACGGCCACAUUGGGACUGAGAUACGGCCCAGACUCCUACGGGAGGCAGCAGUCGGGAAUAUUGCGCAAUGGAGGAAACUCUGACGCAGUGACGCCGCGUAUAGGAAGAAGGUUUUCGGAUUGUAAACUAUUGUCGUUAGGGAAGAGAAAGGACAGUACCUAAGGAGGAAGCUCCGGCUAACUACGUGCCAGCAGCCGCGGU
This 507-nucleotide ribosomal RNA is filed under the name uncultured human intestinal bacterium. RNAcentral's name for it is "bacterial SSU rRNA". It matches the Rfam family "Bacterial small subunit ribosomal RNA", at positions 8 to 521 of the family's 1533-position model. The record is from RNAcentral.